This 429-nucleotide ribosomal RNA is filed under the name uncultured beta proteobacterium. Its description in RNAcentral is "bacterial SSU rRNA". It matches the Rfam family "Bacterial small subunit ribosomal RNA", at positions 355 to 776 of the family's 1533-position model. The record is from RNAcentral. Lineage: Bacteria; Pseudomonadati; Pseudomonadota; Betaproteobacteria.
UGGGGAAUUUUGGACAAUGGGGGCAACCCUGAUCCAGCCAUGCCGCGUGAGUGAAGAAGGCCUUCGGGUUGUAAAGCUCUUUCGGCGGGAACGAAAAGGCCAUCUCUAAUACGGGUGGUCGAUGACGGUACUCGCAGAAGAAGCACCGGCUAACUACGUGCCAGCAGCCGCGGUAAUACGUAGGGUGCGAGCGUUAAUCGGAAUUACUGGGCGUAAAGCGUGCGCAGGCGGCUUUUUAAGCCAGACGUGAAAUCCCCGGGCUCAACCUGGGAAUGGCGUUUGGGACUGGAAGGCUUGAGUGCGGCAGAGGGAGGUGGAAUUCCUGGUGUAGCAGUGAAAUGCGUAGAUAUCAGGAGGAACACCGAUGGCGAAGGCAGCCUCCUGGGCCAGCACUGACGCUCAAGCACGAAAGCGUGGGGAGCAAACAGG